Molecule: long non-coding RNA, 540 nt
Organism: Ornithodoros turicata
Lineage: Eukaryota; Metazoa; Arthropoda; Arachnida; Ixodida; Argasidae
Exons: 4
Source: RefSeq, a predicted model, not a curated record
CGUGCAGUGCGGGUGGCGUCGGCUGUGCAUCACUGCAGAGCUCUGGCAAGAUCAGCCUCGACAAUACAACUUGCAGAAGACGUCAAGGGAAGAAGUCCGAUGUUGUCUGUCCAUGGUGCUGCGUUAUGCAGCGCGCGUCUACGUCAUCGAGCUACGCAUAAAAGUUGGGUUUAAGGGCCUUCGAGAAGAAAGCUAGGGGCGCCAGUCUUCGUCCAAUUGCUGAUGGAGCGCUGCGCCAAUAGCAGUGCCGGAAGCGUCAACCAUAAGGACCGUUGGUGCGCCAGGACUUGUGCGUGCGGGAAGAGCUCCGGCAAGAGGAGCCUCGGCACUACAACUUCGAGAAGACAUCCUUGCUCCUCUUUGAUAUGGCGCAAGUGCACCUAGCAUAAGUGCAUACAUCUGGUGUCGCGUGUGUGGGGAUGUGUUGUGUUGCGUGUAUCUACGUCGUCGAGCUCCGCAAGAAGUUCGGGUAAGUGGUCUGUAAAUUCUUCCCUCGGACUUAGGUCCGCGGCACUGGGACAGCCUCAAGCAACAGUGGGU